Molecule: non-coding RNA, 3798 nt
Organism: Podarcis lilfordi (Lilford's wall lizard)
Lineage: Eukaryota; Metazoa; Chordata; Lepidosauria; Squamata; Lacertidae
Source: the annotation of a GenBank genome assembly
GUCGCAUUUCACCGCUUCCGCGCACGUGUGUGACGUCAUUUUGACCGUCUGCGCAAGCAGCGAAACUCUGUUACUUCUGGGUCGCUGCGGAGCGCAACCCGAAAGCGCUCAACCUGAAGCGUAUUUAUCCCGAGGUAUGACUAUAUUGGGUGCCUAUAUAUAGCCUGGUUGCAUGGUCCAUAUAUUCAUCACAAAAAACAGCAACAAUUUGUUGUUGAUGAAGGAGAGCUGGACAUAUAAAGGGCCUCAUUACCUUCAGUAGAUUAGGGCCUCAGCAAGCCUACAUCCAGCCCUGGCAGUGUGCAUGGAGGUGCUGGGCUGCCCAGACAACAGAACCCCCCCUCUCAGCCUUUCUGAUGCGGUUCAAAGGAAAAGCAGAGCAAUACGUUUGGCACCAACUUGGCUGCAGGAGUUGCCGGAAGGAGGCAUAACAAGGCACCAUUUGACCAUCUUAGAGACCCCACUCCAGAUUUUAGGGUUUACUCCUGAGCCUUUUCUUCUUCCAAAUACAUCCUGCAAGGCAGUGGAGGUUUAGGAUCAGAGUAUUCCUUUUCCUAGAUGGAACCUUCCCAGGUUCACGAGCCCCAUCUGCCCCUCACCUCCCUCUACAUCAGGUGCAGAAACCACCAUUGGCCAUUGGAUCCAUUAUUGGUCUCCAUCUGCGGAAUCUGCCAGAGCCUGUCUUCACAUUCCCUAUCCCACCAAGGGCUUAGAGACCCUUCGGCUACCCUCGCCUGUUUUGACCUGCCAGUCAAAGCCGUUCCCAAGGUGUGGCCGCUGUCACGUACUGACAGCUUCUAGGAGCCGCGGGUGAGAGCUGAGUGCAAGGUGGGGACCAAAGGCGGACAAACUACCCCAGAAGGAGCAUGAUGUGUCCCCACACCCAGUGCAGUGGCAGAAGUAGCAGUAGUGGGGAAGUUGACUUUUGGAAUGUUUGUCCACUGUGAUGACCUCCUUAUGAAAUAACCUCUGAGAAGAGGAAAAACCAUGGUUCCUAAGAACACAAUUCAGAAUUCUUUUGCCCCUGUAGAUGCUGUGAUCCAAAGUGUAUGAAGAGAGGGGAAGGAAACAGAAACUCUUUCCCCUGCAGAAAUGCAGGUUUUACCUAACUGAGCAAUUUUCCGUGCCCUGUCUCUCACAACUGCAAUAACAUUGAUGGGGGGGUCAUGUUCUCCCAAGGGCUUUUGUUUUCGCCAUCCUCUUAACUACCUGUUCUGACUCUUUAAAACAUGGGGAUUUGGUUUUUAAAGCUCAAGGCUUUCAUUCCUCUUUGAUGUCAGGAAACAUGAUAAUGCAUGCCUUGUUUGUUUGGAUAUUCCCGCCUGGAAUCCAUGAGCAUUCCACAACUCCCUGGAAAUACUGCAAUUUGCAGACCUGCGGGCAGUCUUGGUAAAUCUGCAUAUGAAUGCAGCUGUACCUAGUUCAGAACCAUCUUUUUUUUGUGAAACCAAAAUCUGCUUUUAUAAAGAUUUUACACAUAAUAGUUGGCAGUCUGGCCUGCUGAGAACACACUUACAUUUUCUUUUAUCCACUGUUGUGCUGAAAUAUGGAACAGCAGCAUGGUGUGUGUGUGUGUAGCAUAAUUUUUCUGUAGCUGAUUUAAGAACAAAAUUAAUCUGUACAUCACUGGCCUUCUGCAGUACCGUAUUUUUCUGUCUGUAAGAUGCCCCCAUGUAUGACACCCCCUAUUUUUGGGGACUCCAAUUUAAGAAAAUUGGGGGAGAUCUAUUCGUGUAUAAGACUCCCCCAAAUUUUGGACAUUUUUUUAAAGGAAAGAAACCUAGUCUUAUACACGGAAAAAUACAGUAUGUACUCACAAUUGAACAUGGUUUUUGGCCAUGGUUCCUAAAUAAAACUGGUUCAUUGUAUCUUAUUAAUUCAUUCAUUUAUUUAAUUUAUAUACCACCUUUAUUUUUCAAGGAUCUUGUAGGUGUUUUCAUAAUACAUUAUGUUUUGUUAGCUUUCUUAAUAUAAGGCGCUUGUGGGAGAAUUUACUUUCAAUUGACAAUGAGGAUAAGAAUGCUGAUGUUCUGUGUUUCUGAGUCUCUGCAGGCGGCAGUGUGUGUCCUUAUUCUAGGCUUACUCACCCCUCCCUGACUGCUGGUCCCCCGUCUAGCAUUUAACAAUAAUUUAGUGCAAACAGCAUGCUUGGUGCAAGGCUCUUUCCCAUAGCUGUUCACGUCUACAUUGGGUAGACAAGAAUGCACAAAGUAGGUUACAUGGUAUCUUCCUUUGGACAAACUUUUGGUUGUUGUAGGAAUAUUUCAGGAGUAUUGAAGAUUCCUGUGAAACUGUCAGCCUUUCUCCGGCCUAAAGUUGGUUCAAUAGAAAAUGCAGUUUUCCUGCAGUGUAUAUAUUUUGUUCUUUGGGAAUAGAACAUAACUUAUUUUUUGUUGGCAUCUAUCUGUAUGUCUCUAGAGACAACGGAGUACACCUCCAGGGGUGAAGUCAAACUGCUGGAGAACCACAAUGCCUGCUGUGGCUGCAGAGACUGGUAACUUGUACCUGCUUCUUCCCACAUUGUUUUUGCUGUGUUAGUCACUCAGAAGCGACUUUUCCUGGGCUGCCCAGACGACAAGACCCCCCUCUCAAUGUCACUGCUGUGAUCCAAAGGAAAGCAGAGCAAUACAGAAGACGCUCAGGUUGCGAACGUGAUCCAUGCGGGAAGCACGUUCGCAACCCUCAGCGCUGCGUUUGCACAUGCACGGGUUGCGAUUCGGCUCUUAUGCACAUGCGCAACAUGCGAUUUAGCACUUCUGUGCAUGCACAAGAGCCGAAACCCAGAAGUAACCCAUUCCGGUACUUCCAGGUUCGGCGCAGUGCGCAACCCGAAGCAUCUGUAACAUGAGGUAUGACUCUGGCACCAGCUUGGCUGCAGGAGUUUCCGGAAGGAGGUGUAAAAGGCACCAUCCAACUGUUUUAGGGACACUGGAUUUGUGUAGGGUUUACUCCUCAGCCUUUUCUUCUCCCAGUGAUUUCCCUCGAGGUAGUGGGUAUGGAUUUUUCUGAGAUGCCUCGCAGAAAGCCACACCAUUGCUUCGUCUAGCUCCGCUUUCUCUACUGAGCAUGACCAGCAAGCCAACAACAAGCCAUGGGUCAGGAUUGGCUAGUGAUCAUGACUGUGCAGCAAACUAUGAUUCCUGGUUUAGAAUUAACCCGAAGCCAAGACUGAGCAUUGUUUAUCCUUCUUGCUCUGGGUAGAAGUAGAGCAACAGCAGUCUGGUUUAUCAUGGCUUGGCAUAAACAUGCAGCAUGUUCACGCACGCAUGCAAGGAAGUGCGGCUUAUCAUUAUGCAUGAAUGUGGCCAUAAGGAACCAAAUGGGAGAAGGCAGGAUUGGCAGAAGGAGGGAUGGAGGGGGAAUGCCGCUUAAUAUAGUAACCGGUGCAGAAUGGUUAACUGUGAGUUGAAGCCUGAACUCUUCUUGGAUCAAGUUGUCGUUCCCACUGUAUAUUGUUUUAUUUCACUGGAGGGGAACUAGGGCAGCGUGUACUCUGUGCUAUGAAAACAAAUUAAAGUUGCAACCCUAGGCUUACUCAGUCGGGCGCAAGCACCAUUGAAUACGUUGUGCUUUGCUUUUGAGUAAAGGCACCGUGGCUCACACUGCACACUUUCUGCGCAAAAGCCACACAGGUUCUGUGCCCAGGAAAGCAGAAUUCUGCAACUCACCUAAAAUCAGCAAGCGGAACAAUGUUAAACAUUUCCCUUCUCCUCCUUUGCAUAAUUCUAGUUUUGCUAGUAGUGGAGAAGCCCAGGGAAUUAUUCCUGGCACUGCUGUCACCAUGCAUAGAACCUGUAC